UACGGAGGGAGCUAGCGUUGUUCGGAAUUACUGGGCGUAAAGCGCACGUAGGCGGCUUUGUAAGUUAGAGGUGAAAGCCUGGAGCUCAACUCCAGAAUUGCCUUUAAGACUGCAUCGCUUGAAUCAUGGAGAGGCGGGUGGAAUUCCGAGUGAUAGAGGUGAAAGUUCGUAGAUAUUGGGAAGAACACCGGUGGCGAAGGCGGCUCACUGGCUCAAUUACUGACGCUCAGGCGCGACAGCGUGGGGAUCAAACAGGG
Molecule: ribosomal RNA, 257 nt
Filed under: uncultured bacterium
Lineage: Bacteria
Description: partial 16S ribosomal RNA
Rfam family: Bacterial small subunit ribosomal RNA
Source: RNAcentral